This 253-nucleotide ribosomal RNA is filed under the name uncultured bacterium. Its description in RNAcentral is "partial 16S ribosomal RNA". It matches the Rfam family "Bacterial small subunit ribosomal RNA", at positions 524 to 776 of the family's 1533-position model. The record is from RNAcentral.
UACAGAGGUCCCAAGCGUUGUUCGGAUUCAUUGGGCGUAAAGGGUGCGUAGGCGGCGCGGUAAGUCGGGUGUGAAAUCUCGGGGCUUAACUCCGAAACUGCAUUCGAUACUGCCGUGCUUGAGGACUGGAGAGGAGACUGGAAUUUACGGUGUAGCGGUGAAAUGCGUGGAUAUCGUAAGGAAGACCAGUGGCGAAGGCGGGUCUCUGGACAGUUCCUGACGCUGAGGCACGAAGGCCAGGGGAGCAAACGGG